GACGAACGCUGGCGGCGUGCUUAACACAUGCAAGUCGAACGGAAAGGCCCUGCUUUUGUGGGGUGCUCGAGUGGCGAACGGGUGAGUAACACGUGAGUAACCUGCCCUUGACUUUGGGAUAACUUCAGGAAACUGGGGCUAAUACCGGAUAGGAGCUCCUGCUGCAUGGUGGGGGUUGGAAAGUUUCGGCGGUUGGGGAUGGACUCGCGGCUUAUCAGCUUGUUGGUGGGGUAGUGGCUUACCAAGGCUUUGACGGGUAGCCGGCCUGAGAGGGUGACCGGCCACAUUGGGACUGAGAUACGGCACAGACUCCUACGGGAGGCAGCAGUGGGGAAUAUUGCACAGUGGGCGGAAGCCUGAUGCAGCAACGCCGCGUGCGGGAUGACGGCCUUCGGGUUGUAAACCGCUUUCGCCUGUGACGAAGCGUGAGUGACGGUAAUGGGUAAAGAAGCACCGGCUAACUACGUG
RNAcentral lists this ribosomal RNA (468 nucleotides) under uncultured bacterium. RNAcentral describes it as "partial 16S ribosomal RNA". It matches the Rfam family "Bacterial small subunit ribosomal RNA", at positions 28 to 507 of the family's 1533-position model. The record is from RNAcentral.